Non-coding RNA from Electrophorus electricus (electric eel), 4758 nucleotides. Lineage: Eukaryota; Metazoa; Chordata; Actinopteri; Gymnotiformes; Gymnotidae. The record is from RefSeq and is a predicted model, not a curated record.
CUCCACUGCGCUCCCAGCGUUCGACCGAAAGAAACGGAGUUAUCGCGCACUUCAGCGUAAAGACGCAGGACAUGAAAAUGCAGGAUAUGUACCAUCCGAAUAUCCGGAUGGUAAGUUGACUCCCCAUCAGCAGCUCCUCAUGUGUGAUCAGACAGACCUCCCUGCGUAUGCUUCAUGGCUCCCUCCUGCCUCUGACACUGCCACCUCACACUCUCUCUCCUUCGCCAAGCACUAAACCGCUGCCUCGCUCCACUCCUCCGUCUCCGCGCUACCAUGCCCUCCACUCUCCGCGCUCUGCUGCUGAUGCUGCUGGGAGCCCGCGUGAUGCCGUCCGGCGGCGACUCGCCCCGGCGGGAGAUCAAGAUGGACGGGGACCUUGUGUUGGGAGGCCUCUUCCCCAUCCAUGAGAAGGGCCUGGGCAUGGAUGAGUGCGGUCGCAUCAAUGAGGACCGGGGCAUCCAGAGGCUAGAGGCCAUGCUCUUCGCCAUCGACCACAUCAACCGUGACGUAAGCCUGCUGCCGGGCGUGCCGUUGGGCGUGCACAUCCUGGACACGUGCUCGCGGGACACCUACGCUCUGGAGCAGGCACUGGAGUUCGUGCGGGCCUCACUGACCAAGGUGGAUGACACUGAGUUCAUCUGCCCCGAUGGCUCGUACGCAUUCCAGGAGGACACCCCACUGGCCAUCGCAGGGGUCAUCGGAGGCUCCUACAGCAGCGUCUCUAUACAGGUUGCCAACUUGUUGCGCCUUUUCCAGAUCCCUCAGAUCAGUUACGCCUCUACCAGCGCCAAGCUCAGUGACAAAUCGCGCUACGACUACUUCGCCCGCACUGUCCCGCCAGACUUCUACCAGGCCAAGGCCAUGGCAGAGAUCCUGCGAGCCUUCAAUUGGACGUACGUGUCCACAGUGGCAUCUGAGGGUGACUACGGCGAGACGGGCAUCGAGGCCUUUGAGCAGGAAGCCCGCCUCCGGAACAUCUGCAUCGCCACGUCGGAGAAGGUGGGCCGCUCCAACGCCAAGCGCUCCUCGUACGAGGCGGUGGUGCGGCAGCUGCUGCAAAAGCCCACGGCACGCGUGGUCGUGCUGUUCCUACGCAGCGACGACGCCCGUGAGCUGCUGGCUGCCGCCACCCGCCUCAACUCCUCCUUCCUAUGGGUAGCCAGUGAUGGAUGGGGAGCACAGGAGAGCAUCGUCAAGGGCAGCGAGGUGACGGCAGAUGGGGCCAUCACGCUGGAGCUGGCCGCCCACCCCAUUCCCGAGUUCAACCGCUACUUCCAGAGCCUCAGCCCACUGAAUAACCACCGCAACCCAUGGUACAAAGACUUCUGGGAGCAGAAGUUCCAGUGCUCACUGGGCGGGACGACGGCGGAAGGGGCAGGAACCCCGAAGCCUCCCUGCGACCCGGACCUGGCAGUGGACGACAACAAUUUCGAGCCCGAGUCAAAGAUCAUGUUCGUGGUGAACGCAGUGUACGCCAUGGCACAUGCCCUGCACCGCAUGCAGAGGGCACUGUGUGCCAACACCACCCGUCUGUGUGAUGCCAUGCGCAGCCUCGACGGACGCAGGCUCUACCGCGACUUUCUGCUCCACAUCAACUUCCGAGCUCCAUUCUCUUCUCCUGGCUCAGAGAAUGUAGUCAAGUUUGACCAGUAUGGAGAUGGCAUGGGCCGCUACAACAUCUUCAACUACCAGCACUUGCCAGGCAGUGACAGGUAUGGCUACAUCCAGGUGGGAGAGUGGGCGGAGACGCUCUCCCUCAACGAGUUCCUGGUUGGGUGGCCAAGGGGCGCGGGCGUGCCCACCUCCCAGUGCAGCGACCCGUGCGCCCCCAACGAGAUGAAGAAGAUGCAGGCAGGCGAGUACUGCUGCUGGAUCUGCACGCCAUGCGAGCCCUACGAGUACCUGCCCGAUGAGUUCACGUGCGCGCCAUGCGCCCCGGGCCAGUGGCCUCGUGCCGACCUGAGCAGCUGCUAUGACCUUCCCGAGGACUACAUCAUGUGGGAGGACGCGUGGGCCAUCGGACCCGUCUCAGUGGCCUGCGUGGGCUUCAUCUGCACCUCCCUGGUCUUUGGCGUCUUCAUCCGCCACAACGACACGCCCCUGGUGAAGGCUUCAGGCCGGGAGCUCUGCUACAUCCUCCUGCUUGGCGUGCUCAUGUCCUACUCCAUGACAUUCGUGUUCAUUGCCAAGCCGUCUCCGGCAGUCUGUGCGCUCCGAAGACUGGGCCUGGGUACCUCUUUUGCCGUGUGCUACUCGGCACUGCUCACCAAGACCAGCCGCAUCGCCCGCAUCUUCGGCGGGGUGAAGGACGGAGGCGCCCGCCCGCCCCGAUUCAUCAGCCCUGCCUCGCAGGUCUUCAUCUGCCUGGGGCUGGUCUCCGUGCAGCUGCUGCUGGCGUCCGCCUGGCUGCUGCUAGAGGUGCCGGGCACGCGGCGUUUCACGCUGCCCGAGAGGCGCCAGACAGUGGUGCUCAAGUGCAACGUGCGUGACUCCAGCAUGCUGCUGUCGCUCAGCUAUGACGUGGUGCUCGUCGUGCUCUGCACCGUCUAUGCGUUCAAGACGCGCAAGUGCCCCGAGAACUUCAACGAGGCCAAGUUCAUCGGCUUCACCAUGUACACCACCUGCAUCAUCUGGCUGGCAUUCCUGCCAAUCUUUUACGUCACGUCUAGUGACUACAGGGUCCAGACCACCACAAUGUGUAUAUCGGUGAGUCUGAGCGGCUUUGUGGUGCUGGGCUGCAUGUUCGCGCCUAAGGUUCACAUCAUCAUGUUCCAGCCCCAGAAGAACGUGACUAGCCACCGGCUCAACCUCAACCGCUUCAGCGUCAGUGGUGCCGCCACUGCCUGCGCUUCGCAUGCGUCUGUGAGCGCCCACUUUGUUCCAACAGUGUGCAACGGGAGAGAGAUCGUGGACUCCACUACUUCCUCUCUGUGACCCCGCCUCUAACUACUGCUCUUUAGCGACUGUUAGCCAAUCAGCACACAUUGUGCUCUGCCCAAGAACUACGCCCAUCUACAGUGUGUAGAAAGGAAAAUGCUGACUGCUGUAGUGGCUAAGCCUGCAGUACUGGACAAAACCUGGUCAUUUCCUUUUGUAGGUUUCAUUGUAAUAAUCUAUUCUGUAUGUAUUUCUAUGUUGUAUAUUUUGUACAUAAUCUUACUGAUGGUUUUAGCAGCACAAGUUGACCAUGGUAGAUGAAGCGAUGCUUCUGUUGAGAGGGUGUUGAUGCUAGUAGUUGUACAAGCGCACACAGACUUCUUGUAGUAAGCGUUCAUAUCGUCUGCUGCUGCUUUCCAUGAACUGCUUCUCACAAAGCAUACACAUACCAGCCCGAAGUGGUCUUGAAUGCUAAACUUUGACGCCGAUGUGACGUAUUUAUGAUGUAUAAAAAAGCUUGGUGAGACAGGCAUGGUUAAGUUGUGAUCCAUUGUUUAAUGGCUCUUUGUGCCUUAUCCUGUGUUCAGUAGUUUCAUAUGAAAGCUUCCUGAAGACCUUUAGUCAAGGGGUAGCUGAGUCCAUUUGUUUACAUCUCUUUUUUACAUCUCAGUGUUUUUUACAUUUCUACAUUCUGCUGUGCUUUGGAAAGGGGGGGGGUUACAUUUUAUUUAACGUGUUGAUCAAUUUGUAGUCAUGUCACUGGUUUGUUUAGGACUGUGUUCAGCUGAUAAGGUCUGAUCGUGGCGAUUUAUUCAGUUGUAAGUCUGUAAGUCAUAAUCAUUUUAGGUUUUGCCAUUUUUAAAAUGGAUUGACGCACAACCAAUAUGGAACAGUGCUUCAGAAAAGUGACAUUCGUUAUUUGCCGUCGUGACAGUGAACUCAUACCGCUGCAUGCCAACAAAGAGGAAGUGAAAAUGCACAACAGAAUGAGAAGAGUCCAACUGUGUUUUAUAAUGGUAAUGAGGUAACUGCCUGAUCAACAGCACAAACUUCUGGUCUUCUGGUAGGAUCUCAUUCAGAAAACAUACUUUUGAGUCAUUACUCAACAAGUGUCAUCCCUGCGGCCUUUAGUGUAGUAUGUGCAUACACGUGGCUACAAGUGCCCUCAAUUGCUCUGUUCUCACUGAAAUCUGUGAUGCUUUUACAAUUCUCCCUAAAUGCCAUUCUGUGCCAUGCGAAAUGCUAAGGUUAGUGAAAGCCAGACUGAUGUGGAGAUGGAGAAAGACAGACAGUUAACAUUUAAAGUGAAAGGAAUAGGAAGACAUGUGGUAGUGAGUGCACAGAGGGCGAGAGAGCAGCUUCUGACCUCUAAAGUCACGGUCCGCGUUUGCUUCGUUCCACGAUCAGCAGCCCACUGCAGUCUGAGGCUGCUCUGUAGAGAGCUUUUAUAUAUCAGACUCCAAAAGUGUGUGGCUGGCUGACUCCCCCCACGGCCAGCGAGUUGCUAGGGGACAGCGGUUCUACACGGCCUCCUCAGGAAUGCUUUUGAGCAGAAGAGGAACAGGAGGAGAGCCAAAAUGAAGCUGCUUUAUCUGAAGGGCUUAGAGAGGUGUUUCAGAAAGAGGAAGCCGACUGCAGGCUGUUCAGAGACAGCAAUCAGAGCGUAUCCACUGCCCCCCUGGGUUAUGUUCAGCCCCUACAGAUACUUCCCAACAGGAGCAGGGGCUGAGGAUUCGCUGUAAAUUAGAUGGCACUGUAAUCGGUGCGCUGGCAUAUUCCACAUGAUCAUAAACAGAUGUUUUUGAUUCAUGUUUGAUGAUGGUUAGUCCAGGCAAUUCUCCUCUUGUUGGCAUGAUUUGGAAAAUUUUGGUAAAAACAUCG